Molecule: ribosomal RNA, 266 nt
Filed under: uncultured bacterium
Lineage: Bacteria
Description: partial 16S ribosomal RNA
Rfam family: Bacterial small subunit ribosomal RNA
Source: RNAcentral
UUACGCCUACGGGGGGCAGCAGUGGGGAAUAUUGCACAAUGGGGGAAACCCUGAUGCAGCGACGCCGCGUGAGUGAAGAAGUAUUUCGGUACGUAAAGCUCUAUCAGCAGGGAAGAAAAAAAGUCCUUUGGACUUUGGACGGUACCUGACUAAGAAGCCCCGGCUAACUACGUGCCAUCAGCCGCGGUAAUACGUAGGGGGCAAGCGUUAUCCGGAUUUACUGGGUGUAAAGGGAGCGUAGACGGCAGCGCAAGUCUGGUGUGAAA